This 257-nucleotide long non-coding RNA is filed under the name Elaeis guineensis (African oil palm). Its description in RNAcentral is "long non-coding RNA (EGUI_LNC031076)". Lineage: Eukaryota; Viridiplantae; Streptophyta; Magnoliopsida; Arecales; Arecaceae. The record is from RNAcentral.
GAGAAGAGUUUCACCAAGAGAAAAAUCAAGAGAAAAACUCUGGAUGUGGGUUUGUUCUAGGCGUGGGUUCCCUAGGGUUUCAAUCUAGGGUUUCGGGAAGAGAAGAAAAAUAAGCAAAAAGUGUCUUGUCUUCACCUUUCUCCCACCCCAUUCUUCUCCUUAACGUCCUCCUUCACCUCCUGAAAGUGUCCGAGAGAUCGAAGAAAGAAGUUUGAUCAGCUAUUAAUAGGGUCUCUACGUGAGCUAGCACUCUCGGA